Molecule: ribosomal RNA, 2903 nt
Filed under: Escherichia coli
Lineage: Bacteria; Pseudomonadati; Pseudomonadota; Gammaproteobacteria; Enterobacterales; Enterobacteriaceae
Description: 23S ribosomal RNA
Rfam family: Bacterial large subunit ribosomal RNA
Source: RNAcentral
UUAAGCGACUAAGCGUACACGGUGGAUGCCCUGGCAGUCAGAGGCGAUGAAGGACGUGCUAAUCUGCGAUAAGCGUCGGUAAGGUGAUAUGAACCGUUAUAACCGGCGAUUUCCGAAUGGGGAAACCCAGUGUGUUUCGACACACUAUCAUUAACUGAAUCCAUAGGUUAAUGAGGCGAACCGGGGGAACUGAAACAUCUAAGUACCCCGAGGAAAAGAAAUCAACCGAGAUUCCCCCAGUAGCGGCGAGCGAACGGGGAGCAGCCCAGAGCCUGAAUCAGUGUGUGUGUUAGUGGAAGCGUCUGGAAAGGCGCGCGAUACAGGGUGACAGCCCCGUACACAAAAAUACACAUACUGUGAGCUCGAUGAGUAGGGCGGGACACGUGGUAUCCUGUCUGAAUAUGGGGGGACCAUCCUCCAAGGCUAAAUACUCCUGACUGACCGAUAGUGAACCAGUACCGUGAGGGAAAGGCGAAAAGAACCCCGGCGAGGGGAGUGAAAAAGAACCUGAAACCGUGUACGUACAAGCAGUGGGAGCACGCUUAGGCGUGUGACUGCGUACCUUUUGUAUAAUGGGUCAGCGACUUAUAUUCUGUAGCAAGGUUAACCGAAUAGGGGAGCCGAAGGGAAACCGAGUCUUAACUGGGCGUUAAGUUGCAGGGUAUAGACCCGAAACCCGGUGAUCUAGCCAUGGGCAGGUUGAAGGUUGGGUAACACUAACUGGAGGACCGAACCGACUAAUGUUGAAAAAUUAGCGGAUGACUUGUGGCUGGGGGUGAAAGGCCAAUCAAACCGGGAGAUAGCUGGUUCUCCCCGAAAGCUAUUUAGGUAGCGCCUCGUGAAUUCAUCUCCGGGGGUAGAGCACUGUUUCGGCAAGGGGGUCAUCCCGACUUACCAACCCGAUGCAAACUGCGAAUACCGGAGAAUGUUAUCACGGGAGACACACGGCGGGUGCUAACGUCCGUCGUGAAGAGGGAAACAACCCAGACCGCCAGCUAAGGUCCCAAAGUCAUGGUUAAGUGGGAAACGAUGUGGGAAGGCCCAGACAGCCAGGAUGUUGGCUUAGAAGCAGCCAUCAUUUAAAGAAAGCGUAAUAGCUCACUGGUCGAGUCGGCCUGCGCGGAAGAUGUAACGGGGCUAAACCAUGCACCGAAGCUGCGGCAGCGACGCUUAUGCGUUGUUGGGUAGGGGAGCGUUCUGUAAGCCUGCGAAGGUGUGCUGUGAGGCAUGCUGGAGGUAUCAGAAGUGCGAAUGCUGACAUAAGUAACGAUAAAGCGGGUGAAAAGCCCGCUCGCCGGAAGACCAAGGGUUCCUGUCCAACGUUAAUCGGGGCAGGGUGAGUCGACCCCUAAGGCGAGGCCGAAAGGCGUAGUCGAUGGGAAACAGGUUAAUAUUCCUGUACUUGGUGUUACUGCGAAGGGGGGGACGGAGAAGGCUAUGUUGGCCGGGCGACGGUUGUCCCGGUUUAAGCGUGUAGGCUGGUUUUCCAGGCAAAUCCGGAAAAUCAAGGCUGAGGCGUGAUGACGAGGCACUACGGUGCUGAAGCAACAAAUGCCCUGCUUCCAGGAAAAGCCUCUAAGCAUCAGGUAACAUCAAAUCGUACCCCAAACCGACACAGGUGGUCAGGUAGAGAAUACCAAGGCGCUUGAGAGAACUCGGGUGAAGGAACUAGGCAAAAUGGUGCCGUAACUUCGGGAGAAGGCACGCUGAUAUGUAGGUGAAGUCCCUCGCGGAUGGAGCUGAAAUCAGUCGAAGAUACCAGCUGGCUGCAACUGUUUAUUAAAAACACAGCACUGUGCAAACACGAAAGUGGACGUAUACGGUGUGACGCCUGCCCGGUGCCGGAAGGUUAAUUGAUGGGGUUAGCGCAAGCGAAGCUCUUGAUCGAAGCCCCGGUAAACGGCGGCCGUAACUAUAACGGUCCUAAGGUAGCGAAAUUCCUUGUCGGGUAAGUUCCGACCUGCACGAAUGGCGUAAUGAUGGCCAGGCUGUCUCCACCCGAGACUCAGUGAAAUUGAACUCGCUGUGAAGAUGCAGUGUACCCGCGGCAAGACGGAAAGACCCCGUGAACCUUUACUAUAGCUUGACACUGAACAUUGAGCCUUGAUGUGUAGGAUAGGUGGGAGGCUUUGAAGUGUGGACGCCAGUCUGCAUGGAGCCGACCUUGAAAUACCACCCUUUAAUGUUUGAUGUUCUAACGUUGACCCGUAAUCCGGGUUGCGGACAGUGUCUGGUGGGUAGUUUGACUGGGGCGGUCUCCUCCUAAAGAGUAACGGAGGAGCACGAAGGUUGGCUAAUCCCCGGUCGGACAUCAGGAGGUUAGUGCAAUGGCAUAAGCCAGCUUGACUGCGAGCGUGACGGCGCGAGCAGGUGCGAAAGCAGGUCAUAGUGAUCCGGUGGUUCUGAAUGGAAGGGCCAUCGCUCAACGGAUAAAAGGUACUCCGGGGAUAACAGGCUGAUACCGCCCAAGAGUUCAUAUCGACGGCGGUGUUUGGCACCUCGAUGUCGGCUCAUCACAUCCUGGGGCUGAAGUAGGUCCCAAGGGUAUGGCUGUUCGCCAUUUAAAGUGGUACGCGAGCUGGGUUUAGAACGUCGUGAGACAGUUCGGUCCCUAUCUGCCGUGGGCGCUGGAGAACUGAGGGGGGCUGCUCCUAGUACGAGAGGACCGGAGUGGACGCAUCACUGGUGUUCGGGUUGUCAUGCCAAUGGCACUGCCCGGUAGCUAAAUGCGGAAGAGAUAAGUGCUGAAAGCAUCUAAGCACGAAACUUGCCCCGAGAUGAGUUCUCCCUGACUCCUUGAGAGUCCUGAAGGAACGUUGAAGACGACGACGUUGAUAGGCCGGGUGUGUAAGCGCAGCGAUGCGUUGAGCUAACCGGUACUAAUGAACCGUGAGGCUUAACCU